AGCAGCCGCGGUAAUUCCAGCUCCAAUAGCGUAUAUUAAAGUUGUUGCAGUUAAAAAGCUCGUAGUUGAAUUUCGGGGUCAGUAGGUUGGUCGUGCCACUGGUAUGCACUGGUCUCACUGAUUCCUCCUUCCUGAUGAACCGUAAUGCCAUUUAGUUGGUGUUGCGGGGAAACAGGACUGUUACUUUGAAAAAUUAGAGUGUUUAAAGCAGGCUAACGCCUGAAUACAUUAGCAUGGAAUAAUGUAAUAGGACGAGCGAUCCUAUUUUGUUGGUUUCUAGGAUUGACGUAAUGAUUAAUAGGGAUAGUUGGGGGCAUUAGUAUUCAAUUGUCAGAGGUGAAAUUCUUGGAUUUAUUGAAGACUGACUACUGCGAAAGCAUUUGCCAAGGAUGUUUUCAUUAAUCAAGAACGAAAGUUAGGGGAUCGAAGACGAUCAGAUACCGUCGUAGUCUUAACCAUAAACUAUGCCGACUAGGGAUCGGAUGAUGUUAAUUUUUAAUGACUCAUUC
This 509-nucleotide ribosomal RNA is filed under the name uncultured Glomus. RNAcentral describes it as "SSU rRNA". It matches the Rfam family "Eukaryotic small subunit ribosomal RNA", at positions 569 to 1081 of the family's 1831-position model. Lineage: Eukaryota; Fungi; Glomeromycota; Glomeromycetes; Glomerales; Glomeraceae. The record is from RNAcentral.